UAGGGAAUCUUCCGCAAUGGACGCAAGUCUGACGGAGCAACGCCGCGUGAGUGAAGAAGGAUUUCGGUUCGUAAAACUCUGUUGUUAGAGAAGAACAGCGCAUAGAGUAACUGUUAUGCGUGUGACGGUAUCAAACCAGAAAGCCACGGCUAACUACGUGCCAGCAGCCGCGGUAAUACGUAGGUGGCAAGCGUUGUCCGGAUUUAUUGGGCGUAAAGCGAGCGCAGGCGGUCAAUUAAGUCUGAUGUGAAAGCCCCCGGCUCAACCGGGGAGGGUCAUUGGAAACUGGUUGACUUGAGUGCAGAAGAGGAGAGUGGAAUUCCAUGUGUAGCGGUGAAAUGCGUAGAUAUAUGGAGGAACACCAGUGGCGAAGGCGACUCUCUGGUCUGUAACUGACGCUGAGGUUCGAAAGCGUGGGUAGCAAACAGG
RNAcentral lists this ribosomal RNA (429 nucleotides) under Bacteroidota bacterium. RNAcentral's name for it is "Bacteroidetes bacterium partial 16S ribosomal RNA". It matches the Rfam family "Bacterial small subunit ribosomal RNA", at positions 355 to 776 of the family's 1533-position model. The record is from RNAcentral. Lineage: Bacteria; Pseudomonadati; Bacteroidota.